Molecule: ribosomal RNA, 473 nt
Filed under: uncultured bacterium
Lineage: Bacteria
Description: bacterial SSU rRNA
Rfam family: Bacterial small subunit ribosomal RNA
Source: RNAcentral
ACUCCUACGGGAGGCAGCAGUAGGGAAUCUUCCACAAUGGGCGCAAGCCUGAUGGAGCAACACCGCGUGAGUGAAGAAGGGUUUCGGCUCGUAAAGCUCUGUUGUUAAAGAAGAACACGUAUGAGAGUAACUGUUCAUACGUUGACGGUAUUUAACCAGAAAGUCACGGCUAACUACGUGCCAGCAGCCGCGGUAAUACGUAGGUGGCAAGCGUUAUCCGGAUUUAUUGGGCGUAAAGAGAGUGCAGGCGGUUUUCUAAGUCUGAUGUGAAAGCCUUCGGCUUAACCGGAGAAGUGCAUCGGAAACUGGAUAACUUGGGUGCAGAAGAGGGUAGUGGAACUCCAUGUGUAGCGGUGGAAUGCGUAGAUAUAUGGAAGAACACCAGUGGCGAAGGCGGCUACCUGGUCUGCAACUGACGCUGAGACUCGAAAGCAUGGGUAGCGAACAGGAUUAGAUACCCUGGUAGGAUAGCG